CCGCCGCGGUAAUACGUAGGGACCGAGCGUUGUUCGAAAUUAUUGGGCGUAAAGGGUACGUAGGCGGUCUAAUAAGUCAGAUGUGAAAACCCUGGGCUCAGCCUGAGGCCUGCGUCUGAUACUGUUAGGCUAGAGUUACGGAGAGGAAGUCGGAAUUCCUGGUGUAGGGGUGAAAUCUAUAGAUAUCAGGAAGAACACCGGUAGCGAAGGCGGACUUCUGGACGUAAACUGACGCUGAUGUACGAAAGUUAGGGUAGCAAACAGGAUUAGAGACCCUGGUAGUCCUAACCGUAAACGUUGUAUACUAGGUGGUGGCGUUUUGAUCGCGUCACUGCCGUAGCUAACGCAUUAAGUAUACCGCCUGGGGAGUAUGCCGGCAACGGUGAAACUCAAAGGAAUUGACGGGGGCCCGCACAAGCAGUGGAGCAUGUUGUUUAAUUCGAUGAUACGCGAGGAACCUUACCAGGUCUUGACAUAUACCCGGAUGUUCCAGAGAUGGAUCAGUCCUUCGGGACGGGUAUACAGGUGCUGCAUGGUUGUCGUCAGCUCGUGCCGUGAGGUGUUGGGUUAAGUCCCGCAACGAGCGCAACCCUUAUUCUUUGUUGCUAACGCGUUAUGGCGAGCACUCUAAGGAGACUGCCGGUGACAAACCGGAGGAAGGUGGGGAUGACGUCAAAUCAUCACGGCCCUUAUGACCUGGGCUACAAACGUGCUACAAUGGGCGGUACAAAGAGUUGCGAGUCUGUGAAGAGGAGCUAAUCUCAAAAAACCGUCCUCAGUUCGGAUUGGAGUCUGAAACCCGACUCCAUGAAGUUGGAAUUGCUAGUAAUCGCAUAUCAGCCAUGAUGCGGUGAAUAUGUUCCCGGGCCUUGUACACACCGCCCGUCAAGGGCG
This 894-nucleotide ribosomal RNA is filed under the name uncultured candidate division GN05 bacterium. RNAcentral's name for it is "bacterial SSU rRNA". It matches the Rfam family "Bacterial small subunit ribosomal RNA", at positions 512 to 1405 of the family's 1533-position model. The record is from RNAcentral.